This 85-nucleotide transfer RNA is filed under the name Felis catus (domestic cat). It matches the Rfam family "tRNA". Rfam says of the family: Transfer RNA (tRNA) molecules are approximately 80 nucleotides in length. Their secondary structure includes four short double-helical elements and three loops (D, anti-codon, and T loops). The record is from Rfam by way of RNAcentral. Lineage: Eukaryota; Metazoa; Chordata; Mammalia; Carnivora; Felidae.
GUCCGGGUGGCUCAGUUGGUUAAGCAUCUGACUUUAGCUCAGGUCAUGAUGUCACGGCUCGUGGGUUCAAGCCCCACGUCAGGCU